RNAcentral lists this ribosomal RNA (482 nucleotides) under uncultured bacterium. RNAcentral's name for it is "partial 16S ribosomal RNA". The record is from RNAcentral.
GUAGUUAGCCGGGGCUUCCUCCUUGGCUACCGUCAUUUGUUUCGUCACCAAGGACAGAGGUUUACAACCCGAAAGCCUUCUUCCCUCACGCGGCGUUGCUGGGUCAGGCUUGCGCCCAUUGCCCAAUAUUCCCCACUGCUGCCUCCCGUAGGAGUCUGGACCGUGUCUCAGUUCCAGUGUGGCCGAUCAGCCUCUCAGCUCGGCUACCCAUCGUCGACUUGGUGGGCCGUUACCCCGCCAACUAUCUAAUCGGACGCGAGCUCACCCCAAACCGGAUUGCUCCUUUUCCCUCAAGACCAUGUGAUCUCGUGGGCUUACGCGGUAUUAGCAGAUGUUUCCAUCUGUUAUCCCCCUGUCUGGGACAGAUUGCUCACGCGUUACUCACCCGUCCGCCGCUCGACUUGGCCGAAGCCUCAUCUCGCUCGACUUGCAUGUGUUAGGCACGCCGCCAGCGUUCGUCCUGAGCCAGGAUCAAACUCUGA